RNAcentral lists this ribosomal RNA (119 nucleotides) under Salmo salar (Atlantic salmon). The record is from RNAcentral. Lineage: Eukaryota; Metazoa; Chordata; Actinopteri; Salmoniformes; Salmonidae.
GCUUACGGCCAUACCAGCCUGGGUACGCCCGAUCUCGUCUGAUCUCGGAAGCUAAGCAGGGUAGGGCCUGGUUAGUACUUGGAUGGUAGACCGCCUGGGAAUACCAGGUGCUGUAAGGA